CCCGGCGGCUAUGGCAGGGAGGCAAUACCCGUCCCCAUCCCGAACACGGAAGUCAAGCUCCCUCGCGCCCAUGAUACUGCUCUCGCGGGAAAGUAGGCCGCCGCCGGGC
This 109-nucleotide ribosomal RNA is filed under the name Spirochaetaceae bacterium. The record is from RNAcentral. Lineage: Bacteria; Pseudomonadati; Spirochaetota; Spirochaetia; Spirochaetales; Spirochaetaceae.